This 147-nucleotide transfer-messenger RNA is filed under the name Hordeum vulgare subsp. vulgare (domesticated barley). RNAcentral describes it as "transfer-messenger RNA Psmon_fluor_SBW25". It matches the Rfam family "transfer-messenger RNA", at positions 1 to 137 of the family's 374-position model. Rfam says of the family: Bacterial tmRNA, also known as 10Sa RNA or SsrA, is named for its dual tRNA and mRNA-like properties. Its role is to liberate the mRNA from a stalled ribosome. To accomplish this part of the tmRNA is used as a reading frame that ends in a translation stop signal. Lineage: Eukaryota; Viridiplantae; Streptophyta; Magnoliopsida; Poales; Poaceae. The record is from RNAcentral.
GGGGCCGUUUAGGAUUCGACGCCGGUCGCGAAACUUUAGGUGCAUGCCGAGUUGGUAACAGAACUCGUAAAUCCACUGUUGCAACUUCUUAUAGUUGCCAAUGACGAAAACUACGGCCAGGAAUUCGCUCUCGCUGCGUAAGCAGCC